Molecule: long non-coding RNA, 762 nt
Organism: Ipomoea triloba (trilobed morning glory)
Lineage: Eukaryota; Viridiplantae; Streptophyta; Magnoliopsida; Solanales; Convolvulaceae
Exons: 2
Source: RefSeq, a predicted model, not a curated record
CUUUAAAAUAUUGGGAUCAAUGGUCUAUAAUAAUUUUUUUUAGUUUCCUAAUUUUGAGCGUGAAUGUGGGGAGACUAAUUAAGCUAGGGGUAUUUUAGGGUUUUGAAGUGUAGAUGCCAUCCAGAUUAUUGGGAUUUAAUUUAGGAAUUAGUUCAUUAGAUAGGGUUUUGCAAUUUCACGUUGCACACUAGCAUCUGCACAACCAUACGUGUCUCACGGCUUCUUGGCUGCCAUCGUUCUCCGCCGUUGCAAUGUCUGACGAGCCUUUGGUCCAGAGACGUCGCUGGAACACGAUUGCUGCCAGCGAGUUUCAAGGUUCAAAGGCACAAAAAACCCACUCAACUAAAACGGUGCAGGUUAACAUCGAACAAACAGAGGACACCUCUGAAUAUAUUGUUACCUCGGAACCGAUUGCUCACAAAUCUUGACAUGCAUACCAUGACAGUGAAAUUGCAAAAUGGUUGUGUCCUCGAGGUGAAUGAGGAGGCUGUGGAGGCAGUGUUGGGGUUGUCACAUACACCAAAAGUCAUUAUUGAUCUAGCAAAGCAUGAGAAAAGCAUGAUUCUGAACAAGUGGCGGGAUUUGUGUGGUUUCACCAUACUAGAAAUUUAAUAAUAACUGUGAUAAAAACAAUGUCCAAUGGUACCGCGAUUUUUUUGGAUAUAUUACGUGCUACCAUGCACGGGCAAGGGACCAUAACGUGUUUGAGAUGCGUCCUUUGUGCACCAUUGAAUUUUUAACCAUGCAAACAUUGCAAACCUA